RNAcentral lists this unclassified non-coding RNA (4991 nucleotides) under Hevea brasiliensis (rubber tree). The record is from RNAcentral. Lineage: Eukaryota; Viridiplantae; Streptophyta; Magnoliopsida; Malpighiales; Euphorbiaceae.
AAAAGCAAUUCGGUUUGAUCACAGUUCUUACCAAGAAUCGAACCCAACCUACCUACCGGCUAACGUAUUGGAGAGCUCUCAUCACUCACCUCUCGCCGCAGCAGGUUGGCGAUUCCCACUCCAGCUUGGCGCCCAUGACUCCCCCAACUCCCUUAUUCACCAUCCCAACGUCAACUCCAAUUUCAAGCGCCACCACAUCGUUCUCGAUUAACAUAGGCGACUCUUUGACGUCUUAGAUUUUGCACGCGCUUCUUGUAGAGUAGGACGAGGGUAACUGUAGGGAGGGCACACUAGUAAUUUCGGCAACGCGUCGGAAUAAAGAAGCUGGACACUUGCUUCCGAAGUAACUGCACCCUGCUGCUCCCCUGCACCACAGCUUUUAAUUUUGGUUUUGAUCUCCUGUGCUCGCCCUCACCGUAAGUUUUCAUGUUUAAAUAAUAUAUUUAUCAUUAGCCCAAAAUUCAACUGUCGGUGUCCGAGAGUAGGUUUGUAGCAGCAUUAAAAUGAGCUCGACUACAGAGGAUCACAAACUGUUGUAUUUUCAAUUUGAGGGGUAUUUUUUGCUCUGCCAGUACUACCAGUAACAGAGAGAACAAAGCUAAGCAAAGGCAAAAGGGAAUCGAUGUCGCUUUAGAUCACCUCAUUUCCUUCGUUUGCAAGCGCACUCAAUCAUGGAAUGGUAGAUUUGGGAUUUUUAAGUUACACAUUGUUCAGGUAGGUUCCAGAUCUGGUUCAAAUCCAGCUUGUUUUUGCUUUUUAAUCCUUUUGGUUCCUUUUUAGAUUGGUUGUUUCUGUGUUUUGAUGCAGUUUGAGUAGUUUUCUUGAUUGGACUAGAUCUUUUUUCUUGUGAUCUAUAGUUGGCUUUUCUGGACUUGCAUUUUUGCUCCUUCUCGCUGUUCCACUUCCUCUCUGAUUUUGGUUCUUUAGCUCAUUCCUUGAUGGGCAUUUCAGCUGAUAUUUAGAUAAUUGGGAAUUCUAUAUGGUAAUUUGUUGCUUCAAAAGUUGGAGAUGCUGUGAAACUAAAACAAUUAAAGGGAGAAAAGACGUUUAUUUUUCUUCGUAAUUUGCAUGUUGGACUGUGAUGUUAUGAAAAUUAUGCUGUAUUUGAUUGGGUUCAAGUAGAAAAAUGAAGUAAUGAAUGCAGUGAGCAGAUUUGGUUCAGGCAUUUUACGUGUUGCGACAUUCUGAAUUAUAUUACUUCUUCUGUUUGCAAUUUAUGCAUGUUGAAUUUGUUAACGCAGGGAAAAAUAAAAUUGCAGGAACUGGGGUUUGGAUUUCUCUGGUUAUCAUUUAUCCAGUCAUGGGCAAAUCACCAGGGAGAUGGAUCAAGACCGUACUUUUUGGAAAGAAGUCUUACAAAUCUCAUACAGCAAAAGGGAGGGAGAGAACUGCAAACGAGAGAGAAGUAUUGGUUUCUGCAAAGGCAUCAGAAGCUGAUUCGAUUUCUGUUCCUCCUGUAAUAUCACAUCCAACCCCCGUUAUCACUGUUCACUCGGAAAGGCAGUUAGAACUUGAGAGCCAAGAGACUGCAGACUCACCACAUAAUGGGGGCAUAUUGUUGCCAGGAAAUCAAGAGGUAGAUUUACAAGGGUCUACAAACCAAGCCACGUUAUCUGAUGCUGAGAAAAUAAGGCAAGAGAAAGCUGCAACAUUGGUACAAGCUGCAUUUAGAGGUUUCUUGGCUCGUCGGGCAUUUUGGGCCCUUAAAGGCAUAAUAAGGCUUCAGGCGCUUAUCCGUGGGCACUUGGUCAGGAGACAAGCUGUUGCCACUUUGUGCUGUGUGCUGGGAAUUGUCAAGCUGCAGGCACUUGCUCGAGGAAUAAAAGUUAGGAAUUCAGAUAGAGGGCGGCAGGUUCUUAAAAAAUGCAGCAUGGUGAAGCCUUUGGUAAUUUCUUGAGUAAUCCCUCCCAUAGUCAAUUGCUAAUCAUGCCCCAUCUUUCUUCAUGAAUGUUAUAUAUUCUCAUUAUGGCUCAUUCAGAAUCUCUAAUGUAAUGAUAGUUUGAUAGUUGAGUUAAAUAUAUGAAAUAUACCCUUUACUUGCAUUCCUAUGCUAUGGUUGGACUUGGGGCACAUCUAAAUGGUAUGGGACAAUGACCUUAGAAUUAGAUGUUUUUAUGUACUAUAUUGGAGUAGCACAAUUAUCAAAUUAUUUGUAUAAGCCCAUUAGGCUACUUUCACUUGCAGAUUGUCUUUGUAAAUUUUAAACCUUUCUCGAUGUUGCAAGAGGCAGGUUGUUCAAUAUGGUUUAUUUUAUCAUAAGGUUAUCGUACAAAUUAAAUAAGUUAAGUUUGCAAUUUUUCUUAUUGCAUAUCUGUGAAUUAUUGUUUUAGUAUAUAUUAUUAUUAGGAAGGUGCAAUGAUAUUUUGAAUUACAUUACAUGUUUUUGUCUGUUUGUGUGAGAGAGUGAGAUCCAUUGGAAAACUUAAAUUUUGUUUCAGCAUGUAUCUUGGAAAAAAUCUAAAGAGUUCAACCUAUUCCAUCACUUUUCUGUUGUUGGAUGUGUCUUAUCCUGACCACAUGCUCAGGGUGAGACUAAUUGGUGAUCUACAUGUUUCAAUUUGACUAUUGUUUAAUUUCUGUAUGAUAUAUGUUUUCCAUCACAGGGCAAGCUUGAGGAUCCUAAUGGAGCUAAUGUUUCUAUCCAAAAAGCAAGGCUAUCAGCAAAUUCUUUUGUUCACAAGGUAUGAUGGGUGUCAUUCAUUACUGCCAUGUUAUGCCUGUGGGAAGGGACAUACUAUUUCUUUCUUUUUGAUAAGCAGUUAAUUAAGUUACCACAAAAACGUGUAAUUUAUGAAGAUGAACUAGAUGAAUUGAUUAUUAUGCUUUUUCCAUAUUGCAUCUUGCUUUAUUUGUGUAAGCAGUAAGCCGCUUCAGCAGAGAAAAUAAGCAUGGCCGAUGGCCCCAGCAUAUUUUCUAUCUGAUUGAGACAUAAUAAUGAUAUUGUGUAAGGAAAUUUUUCAACAUAAUCUCCUGAGCAACUCAUUUCAGGGCCUCUGUCUUAUUUCAUGUAUUAAGGUUUGGUGCUGAUAGAAGUACGAGUACAUAAAAAAUAAUCCAAGCAAGACCUACCCUUUCAAACUUCUAUUCAUUGCUGAAGUUUGCUGAUUAGGAAACAUCCAGUUAGUCAAACUUUCUUCUGUAAUGACAAGAGAGUUGUAAUUAUCACGAUAGCAGUAUCUUUUGCAAAUUUUCAGGGGAAUGUUAAACCCUUUGCUCCUUAAAUGAUUUGACAAGGUUGCAUCUGCCACAUAACUGGGUUCUAUGAGCUUCCUGUGCCUUUCAUCACAUCAACAUUAAAUGAACAUAGAUCUCUCUACUAGAACCUUUGAUUUUUUGGUAGCUUUCUUCAAUUUUGGGGUAUUGAUGUUUAGUAGUUUGAUUAAUUACUAUCAAUUAUAAAAUAUGCAUUGCCUUUUUUGCAUUUCUUAUCCAUUUAAUAUCUGCUGGGUUUGUUUCUUCAGCUUGUGGCUUCAUCACCUACUGUGAUGCCUUUGCGCAUUUAUUAUGACUCUGUGGAGCCAAAUUCAGUUCCAAAUUGGUUAGAACGUUGGUCAGCAUCUCGCUUUUGGAAACCAAUUCCCCAGCCAAAGAAGAUUUCUCACCCAAAAACUCAGAGAAAGCAGAAUAAUGGUCAUAUGCCAGAAGCAGAAACUGGUAGGCCCAAGCGCAGUGUUCGGAGGGUUCCAGCUGCAAAUGUUGACAAUACUUCAGUGCAAGCAACCUCUGAAAUUGAGAAACCCAAGCGCAAUCUUAGGAAAGCUUCAAGCCAUCCAGUUGAUAUGGUGCAGGAAAAUCCACAAAAUGAGCUUGAAAAGGUAAAACGUAAUUUGAGAAAGGUUCAUAACCCGAUAAUUGAAAGUUCUGUUCAGUCAGAGGCAGAAAUUGAGAAACCAAAACAAAGCUUGGAAAAGGCAUCAGGCAAUUCUGGUGAUAAUCUUUUGGGACAGAAUAUGAAUAAUUCAGGGGAGAAGAUUAGGAAAGAAACGACCUCGGCAACACCCAAACUGCCUGUUGUGGUGAAGAAUGAAUCAACCUUGGUAGCAACCAAAUUGCCUGAUGUCGGAACAACUCCAGAACCACUAGGAAUAAAUGAAGCACCAGAAUUUCUUAGUGAUCAAACUUUGGAUGAAUCAAAGCCUUCAGUAGAGAAUGGUGGUAAAGAUGAGAAUACUCCUGUUACAAAUGGGGAGUUAAGCCAUAAGGAACACAAGGAACAUCCAACAAUCAAUGAAAAUCAUAAAUUCAGCAGGAAAACCUCUAGUUUGGCAAAGCAAGAACAUGCAGAGAAUGGGUUACAGAGCAGUCCAGUACUCCCCAGCUAUAUGGCAGCUACUGAAUCUGCCAAGGCAAAGCUGAGGGCUCAAGGUUCCCCAAGGUUUAGCCAAGAUGGAGCUGAGAAAAAUAAUAGUGCUCGGCGCCAUUCUCUUCCAUCUUCAACAAAUAGCAAAAUCAGCUCACAAUCACCAAGGACAAGAACCAUUCAUUCUGGUGGCAAAGGGGCGAGCAAAAGUGACAAGUCUCUAUUAUCAACGAGGGAAGGAAAUGCAAAGGCAACCCAGGCUGAGUGGAGGAGGUGAUCUUUUGGAGCCUUGGGUUUCAAGGGGUUAGCUUGAGGAGCUGAGUUCUGAUUUUAUCUGCAGUUGUGGUUUUUGUGUCUGUGAUGUAAGAUCAUGUUGUGAAACAAAAAAGUGAUCUAUAGUUGGAAGGUGUGUUGGGCCCAGAGUCUUUUCUAGAGUAUCCUGCAGUAGAUGUUUGUGACUGAAUGUACAUCAUAGGUUUUGAAUUAUACGUUGUGUUACAAUCAUACAUUUAUUCUAAACUGUGUUUGGUUUUGACGUUAUAUUUAGCUGUUAAUAAUGUAAUUUUCUUUGCUUCUCUUUCAUCUUGGUAGGUGGCUGUUCAUGAUCAUGAUGUAAUUAAACUGUACUUGUGUUUACUUGGUUUCACGUUGAACAUUGAAUUUGCUUACUCGUAUAUAUCGUUAGUUAUCU